UUUGUGGCCUGGUGUCGGAGUUUCGCUGGUCAAGACGGGCGAGCUCCCAGGGUGAGGCGCGAGCAUUGCACUGCGCUCGUGUUGACCCCUGCCACUACCCCAAACAGGGGCAGAUGGGGCAUGUAAUUUUUGGUAGUGGGGGGACUGCGUGCGCGCUUUCCCCCC
This 165-nucleotide small nuclear RNA is filed under the name Haemaphysalis longicornis (longhorned tick). RNAcentral describes it as "U1 spliceosomal RNA". It matches the Rfam family "U1 spliceosomal RNA". From Rfam's summary of the family: U1 is a small nuclear RNA (snRNA) component of the spliceosome (involved in pre-mRNA splicing). Its 5' end forms complementary base pairs with the 5' splice junction, thus defining the 5' donor site of an intron. Lineage: Eukaryota; Metazoa; Arthropoda; Arachnida; Ixodida; Ixodidae. The record is from Rfam by way of RNAcentral.